This 431-nucleotide ribosomal RNA is filed under the name uncultured bacterium. Its description in RNAcentral is "bacterial SSU rRNA". It matches the Rfam family "Bacterial small subunit ribosomal RNA", at positions 29 to 506 of the family's 1533-position model. The record is from RNAcentral.
ACGAACGCUGGCGGCAUGCCUAACACAUGCAAGUCGAACGCCCCGCAAGGGGAGUGGCGCACGGGUGAGUAACGCGUGGGGAUCUGCCCAUCGGUGGGGAAUAACCUCGGGAAACUGAGGCUAAUACCGCAUACGCCCUGUAAAGGGGAAAGAUUUAUCGCCGAUGGAUGAACCCGCGUCCGAUUAGCUUGUUGGUGAGGUAAUGGCUCACCAAGGCUUCGAUCGGUAGCUGGUCUGAGAGGAUGACCAGCCACACUGGGACUGAGACACGGCCCAGACUCCUACGGGAGGCAGCAGUGGGGAAUAUUGGACAAUGGGGGCAACCCUGAUCCAGCCAUGCCGCGUGAGUGAUGAAGGCCUUAGGGUUGUAAAGCUCUUUUACCAGGGAAGAUAAUGACUGUACCUGGAGAAUAAGCCCCGGCUAACUUCGU